RNAcentral lists this ribosomal RNA (402 nucleotides) under uncultured bacterium. RNAcentral's name for it is "bacterial SSU rRNA". It matches the Rfam family "Bacterial small subunit ribosomal RNA", at positions 355 to 755 of the family's 1533-position model. The record is from RNAcentral.
UAGGGAAUAUUGGACAAUGGGUGCGAGCCUGAUCCAGCCAUGCCGCGUGCAGGAAGACGGCCUUCUGGGUUGUAAACUGCUUUUGCCAGGGGAUAAAAAGUCCCUGCGGGGAAAAUUGAAGGUACCUGGUGAAUAAGCCACGGCUAACUACGUGCCAGCAGCCGCGGUAAUACGUAGGUGGCAAGCGUUGUCCGGAUUUAUUGGGUUUAAAGGGUGCGUAGGUUGUGUUGUAAGUCAGUGGUGAAAUCCGGCAGCUUAACUGUCGAUGUGCCAUUGAUACUGCAGCACUUGAGUACAGACGAGGUAGGCGGAAUUGACGGUGUAGCGGUGAAAUGCUUAGAUAUCGUCAAGAACACCGAUGGCGAAGGCAGCUCCCUGGGUUGACACUGACGCUCAUGCACG